Molecule: ribosomal RNA, 668 nt
Filed under: Acholeplasma sp. enrichment culture clone MLSB30m9D
Lineage: Bacteria; Bacillati; Mycoplasmatota; Mollicutes; Acholeplasmatales; Acholeplasmataceae
Description: bacterial SSU rRNA
Rfam family: Bacterial small subunit ribosomal RNA
Source: RNAcentral
CACUANNUUUACUAGUGAGUGGCGAACGGGUGAGUAACACGUAGGUAACCUGCCCUUAAGACGAGGAUAACCGUUGGAAACGAUGGCUAAGACUGGAUAGGAACAUUGAAGGCAUCUUUGAUGUUUUAAAAGACCUAGCAAUAGGUAUGCUUAAGGAGGGGCCUGCGGCGCAUUAGUUAGUUGGUGAGGUGAAGGCUUACCAAGACGAUGAUGCGUAGCCGGACUGAGAGGUUGAACGGCCACAUUGGGACUGAGAGACGGCCCAAACUCCUACGGGAGGCAGCAGUAGGGAAUUUUCGGCAAUGGGGGAAACCCUGACCGAGCAACGCCGCGUGAAUGACGAAGUACUUCGGUAUGUAAAGUUCUUUUAUUGGGGAAGAAUGGCUGGUGGAAAAACCAGCGUGACGGUACCUAAUGAAUAAGCCCCGGCUAACUAUGUGCCAGCAGCCGCGGUAAUACAUAGGGGGCAAGCGUUAUCCGGAAUUAUUGGGCGUAAAGGGUGCGUAGGUGGUUGAUUAAGUCUUUGGUGUAAGUGCAGUGCUUAACGCUGUGAUGCUAAAGAAACUGGUUAACUUGAGUGUGGUAGAGGCAAGUGGAAUUCCAUGUGUAGCGGUAAAAUGCGUAAAUAUAUGGANGAACACCAGUGGCGAAGGCGGCUUGCUGGGCCC